Molecule: long non-coding RNA, 388 nt
Organism: Lampris incognitus (smalleye Pacific opah)
Lineage: Eukaryota; Metazoa; Chordata; Actinopteri; Lampriformes; Lampridae
Exons: 3
Source: RefSeq, a predicted model, not a curated record
CGAAUCAUGAGUUUAGAAAAUAUCUUAGUUGUCUGUGGUUCUUCUUAUCACUUGGGAUGUAAUGCCGCCUCUGACCACAAUUACAAAUUGGCGCUGUUUGUUUAUCAAGUGGUUGAUUCUACAGGAAAGGAAGCAGAAGUGCACAUGUUUCAGUAAAGCUAGUUUACUGUAAACAUUUGCCAAAAUAUGACAUGCAUGCCUCAUCUGGCCUUCAUAUCAGUGAGUUAAUUUGUUCCUGACCUCGUGGAUGGAUGAUGAUCCCCCAUCCUAACUAUGGAACUAGGGAACAAGACCCUGUGCAUUGUCUGCAAGGAAUCUGGUGGAAGGGACAUAACUGCUGUCACAGCUCCUAAGCUGCUUCACCAAGUAAAACUGUUUGAGGAAUCCG